RNAcentral lists this ribosomal RNA (567 nucleotides) under Rigidoporus millavensis. Its description in RNAcentral is "partial 28S ribosomal RNA". It matches the Rfam family "Eukaryotic large subunit ribosomal RNA", at positions 100 to 648 of the family's 3401-position model. Lineage: Eukaryota; Fungi; Basidiomycota; Agaricomycetes; Polyporales; Meripilaceae. The record is from RNAcentral.
GGGAAAAGCUCAAAUUUAAAAUCUGGCGGGUUCCCCGUCCGAGUUGUAAUCUGGAGAAGCGUUUUCCGUGUUGGACCGUGUACAAGUCUUUUGGAAUAAGGCGUCAUAGAGGGUGAGAAUCCCGUCCAUGACACGGACUACCAAUGCUAUGUGAUACGCUCUCAAAGAGUCGAGUUGUUUGGGAAUGCAGCUCAAAAUGGGUGGUAAAUUCCAUCUAAAGCUAAAUAUUGGCGAGAGACCGAUAGCGAACAAGUACCGUGAGGGAAAGAUGAAAAGCACUUUGGAAAGAGAGUUAAACAGUACGUGAAAUUGUUGAAAGGGAAACGCUUGAAGUCAGUCGCGUCUGUCGAGACUCAGCCUUGCCUUUGGGCCUGGUGUACUUCUCGGUUGACGGGUCAACAUCGAUUUUGAAUGACGGACAAAGGUCUGGGGAAUGUGGCACCUCCGGGUGUGUUAUAGCCUCUCUCCGUAUACGUUGUUUGGGAUCGAGGACCGCAGCGCGCCCUUGUGGCCGGGGUUUUACCCACGUACCGCGCUUAGGAUGUUGACAUAAUGGCUUUAAGCGAC